AACGAACGCUGGCGGCAUGCCUAACACAUGCAAGUCGAACGAGACCUUCGGGUCUAGUGGCGCACGGGUGCGUAACGCGUGGGAAUCUGCCCUUGGGUUCGGAAUAACAGUUAGAAAUGACUGCUAAUACCGGAUGAUGACGUAAGUCCAAAGAUUUAUCGCCCAAGGAUGAGCCCGCGUAGGAUUAGCUAGUUGGUAAGGUAAAGGCUUACCAAGGCGACAAUCCUUAGCUGAUCUGAGAGGAUGAUCAGCCACACUGGGACUGAGACACGGCCCAGACUCCUACGGGAGGCAGCAGUGGGGAAUAUUGGACAAUGGGCGAAAGCCUGAUCCAGCAAUGCCGCGUGAGUGAUGAAGGCCUUAGGGUUGUAAAGCUCUUUUACCAGGGAUGAUAAUGACAGUACCUGGAGAAUAAGCUCCGGCUAACUCCGUGCCAGCCGCCGCAGUAA
RNAcentral lists this ribosomal RNA (449 nucleotides) under uncultured bacterium. RNAcentral describes it as "partial 16S ribosomal RNA". It matches the Rfam family "Bacterial small subunit ribosomal RNA", at positions 29 to 523 of the family's 1533-position model. The record is from RNAcentral.